Molecule: long non-coding RNA, 877 nt
Organism: Triticum aestivum (bread wheat)
Lineage: Eukaryota; Viridiplantae; Streptophyta; Magnoliopsida; Poales; Poaceae
Exons: 2
Source: RefSeq, a predicted model, not a curated record
CUUUGUAAGCAAAUUCUUCAAGAAACCAUAUUAUUUGGCAGCAUAUGAACCAAUGAUAUAUCCUGUCCCUGGUGAGCAUGACUGGACAAAGACCCCAGGUCCAGACAUAGAACCACCAGCAUUUAAAGUGAAGAAAGGAAGAAGGAAAGAGAAGAGAAUAAAGGGAAAAUUUGAAGUUCCAAAGCCAAAGUCCACCUCAAGAAUGGGGACAAUAACUUGUAGCAAUUGUGGAUUACAAGGGCAUAAAUACACAAACUGCCUUAAACAGUUGAAACCUGAGUUGGCCUUAAGAAAGAACAAACAUGUGAUCUCCUGCACCAACAACUAGGGCUCCUACACCAACACCUAAAGCUCCUACACCAACACCAAGAGCUGCUCCACCUGCAACAACUAGGGCUCCUGCUCCAACACCAGGAGGAAGAACUGGAAGUGCUGCUGGUAGAGGUGGUGGAAGUGGUGCUGGUAGAGGUGCAGGAAGAAGGGCUGGUGGUGGAAGAGGAUCUGGAAGAGCAUCUUCUAGUGCUCAAUCUUCUGCUGGGAGAGGUGCAAAUUCUUCAAGGCCUUUCUCUGCCCCAAGGCAGUAUGGUGCCUCAACUUCUAGUGCUCCUCCACCAACUGAUGGCACACACACUGGAUGGAUGGCCUGGUUCAAUGCUAGUAGAGGUGGCAGAAGGUGAUGCAAACUUCUGUUGAUUCUACAAUGUGCACCUGCUACAAUGUGGCAUGUUAUCUUUUGGUUUGAUGCCACUACAAUGUCUUGUAUUCCUGCUACAAUGUGCUUUAUUUUGGUUUGAUGCCACUGCAGUAACUUGUGCUGCUGCUACAAUGUGAUUUAUUUUGGUUUGAUGCCACUGCAGCAACUGUUGCUGAUGAUACA